RNAcentral lists this ribosomal RNA (1545 nucleotides) under Triticum aestivum (bread wheat). Its description in RNAcentral is "partial small subunit ribosomal RNA". The record is from RNAcentral. Lineage: Eukaryota; Viridiplantae; Streptophyta; Magnoliopsida; Poales; Poaceae.
AUGGAUCCAUCUGAUCCCGCGGGACACACGGUCAAUCCACUACUUAUAUCCUUCCCAGGCCUCGAUGGAAUCUCACCUUCCAGCAAGGCCGCCGUCUCCUUCGCUCUUCUUCUUGACCGGAUCAAAAUCUGGUCCCGAUCCGUCGCUCCCCGAAGGAUCCGCCUUGAUCUCUCCCUUAUUUGCUCCCACUCCCUUCCGCUGAAGAGAUCCAGCUCGUGCCCCCCUCCAGGAUUCGAGUCCCUCUGCCCCGACGGAUUUGCCGGUGUUGAUGCCGCCGUCUCGCCCGCCAUAGCCGCCAAGAUCGGCAAGUCGAUCGUGGGAGCCCCCGAGUUUUUUUUCUCUCGUCCAAACCCUAGCCGCGCCAUCCUCCGUGCGCCGCAGCCCCCAUCGAUUCCGCCCAACACCACCGAUCCCCUUCCACCUCUUCCACCCAUCCCCUCGCCGCCACCCACCUUCGCCACCGACCAGUCCCCUCGCCGCCACCCACCUCCGCCACACCUCCCCUCCCCACCUCAGAUCCUCUCCCCUCUUCCCACUCCCAGAUCCAACCUCCCACCGCCGCCUCCGACGCCCAAUCCCGGUGACCUAAGGCGGGAUUCGACGGUGCCCAGCAGACCUACACCCAUCACCGGCCAUGGAGGCGGUGGCCCUCUCCGCCGGCGAUGCGCGGAAGAGACCUACACCCGUCCCGUCCUUCUCCUUUCCUCUGUCUCUCUCUCUCCCUCACGCAUCUUCCCUCUCUCCCAGGUACAUCUACAACAGCCCCGCCAUGGAUGGCCUCUUCACGAGCUCCUGCCGCCGCUGCAGUUCAUCCGCGUCGUCGCCCCGCAGACCACCCCUACACCUCUGCAGCGGACCUGCUCCACAUCUCCUACAACCAUGACUACGUCUGCUUCACGACGAGACGCUCGCGGCAGCGCGGGCCUCCGACGCCAUCCUGCUCGGCGCGAUAGGAGGGUGAGUGGAAACGAUCUGGCAAUAGUAAUUAGUUCAGAAGUUGUGAUGUAUAAGUGGGACAGCAGUGAGAAGCAUCUCAAGCCUGAGACCGGGCUGCUCAACAUCCGUGCCGGGCUCAGCGUGUUCGCCAAUCUGCGGCCAGCCACGGUGUUGCCGCAGCACUGCCUUUCGUACUCUAGUUUGCUAGUUGCAUCCAAGGCCAUGGUCCUGGAGAACGCUUGUAGGGACGUCGAGGAGAUGCGCGCCAUCCUUGGCGACAGCAUCGGCAACCUAGAGCUCAUGAAGCAGAGGAUACAAGAGAGGGUGCGCGCGAAAGGCAGGGAGGGGUUCAACAGGCCCAAGACGGGCUCCGUCGCCGCGUUCAAAAUCAUGAUGUACCAGCUCUGCAAUGGCGUUGCUUUCUGCCACGAACGCGGUGUCCGGGACCAUGACCUCGAGCCACACAACCUGCUCAUGGGUGGAUGCGCUGGUAACGCUGAUGGUUUCGGAGAUACUCGUAAAGAAGAGUUGUACAAUGCAUGUGCUACUCUUAAGGUACCAGAGGCGAUCGACAUCCUCCUGGUGGCGCUGCUCCUCACAAAGUGUUGA